GACGAACGCUGGCGGCGUGCUUAACACAUGCAAGUCGAACGGAAAGGCCCUGCUUUUGUGGGGUGCUCGAGUGGCGAACGGGUGAGUAACACGUGAGUAACCUGCCCUUGACUUUGGGAUAACUUCAGGAAGCUGGGGCUAAUACCGGAUAGGAGCUCCUGCUGCAUGGUGGGGGUUGGAAAGUUUCGGCGGUUGGGGAUGGACUCGCGGCUUAUCAGCUUGUUGGGGGGGUAGUGGCUUACGAAGGCUUUGACGGGUAGCCGGCCUGAGAGGGUGACCGGCCACAUUGGGACUGAGAUACGGCCCAGACUCGUACGGGAGGCAGCAGUGGGGAAUAUUGCACAAUGGGCGGAAGCCUGAUGCAGCAACGCCGCGUGCGGGAUGACGGCCUUCGGGUUGUAAACCGCUUUCGCCUGUGACGAAGCGUGAGUGACGGUAAUGGGUAAAGAAGCACCGGCUAACUACGUG
Molecule: ribosomal RNA, 468 nt
Filed under: uncultured bacterium
Lineage: Bacteria
Description: partial 16S ribosomal RNA
Rfam family: Bacterial small subunit ribosomal RNA
Source: RNAcentral